Pelobates cultripes (western spadefoot toad) is the source of this 102-nucleotide non-coding RNA. The record is from the annotation of a GenBank genome assembly. NCBI's taxonomy places the organism in Eukaryota, Metazoa, Chordata, Amphibia, Anura, Pelobatidae.
UCCUUCUUCAGCUCUCUUGCGCACCGCACUGAUGCCGGAGCUGGAAGAUGACGUCAUCUUCCGGCUCCGGCAUCAGUACACGGCGCGCGAGGGAGCUGAACA